ACGAACGCUGGCGGCGUGCUUAACACAUGCAAGUCGCACGGAAAGGCCCUGCUUUUGUGGGGUGCUCGAGUGGCGAACGGGUGAGUAACACGUGAGUAACCUGCCCUUGACUUUGGGAUAACUUCAGGAAACUGGGGCUAAUACCGGAUAGGAGCUCCUGCUGCAUGGUGGGGGUUGGAAAGUUUCGGCGGUUGGGGAUGGACUCGCGGCUUAUCAGCUUGUUGGUGGGGUAGUGGCUUACCAAGGCUUUGACGGGUAGCCGGCCUGAGAGGGUGACCGGCCACAUUGGGACUGAGAUACGGCCCGGACUCCUACGGGAGGCAGCAGUGGGGAAUAUUGCACAAUGGGCGGAAGCCUGAUGCAGCAACGCCGCGUGCGGGAUGACGGCCUUCGGGCUGUAAACCGCUUUCGCCUGUGACGAAGCGUGAGUGACGGUAAUGGGUAAAGAAGCACCGGCUAACUACGUG
RNAcentral lists this ribosomal RNA (467 nucleotides) under uncultured bacterium. RNAcentral describes it as "partial 16S ribosomal RNA". It matches the Rfam family "Bacterial small subunit ribosomal RNA", at positions 29 to 507 of the family's 1533-position model. The record is from RNAcentral.